CCAGGUUGUACCUGCCUGUAGUCAUAUGCUUGUUUCAAAGACUAAGCCAUGCACGUCUCAGUAUAAACUCUUAUGAGUGAAACCGCGAAUGGCUCAUUAAAUCAGAUGUGAUUUCUUGGAGAUCAGGACAGUACAUGUCUUACAUGGAUAACUGUGGUAAUUCUAGAGCUAAUACAUGCUAAAAUGGUCAUCCUCCCAAGGGUGGCUUGCGUUUAUUAGAUCAAAACCAACGGUCGCAAGACCAAAAGUUUGAUGACUCUGGAUAACCGAGCUGAUCAUGGCUUCACAGCCGUGACACCUCCUUCAAGUGUCUGCCUUAUCAACUUUCGAUGGUCGGUCAAGUGCCUACCAUGGUUGUAACGGGUAACGGGGAAUCAGGGUUCGAUUCCGGAGAGGGAGCCUGAGAGACGGCUACCACAUCCAAGGAAGGCAGCAGGCACGUAAAUUACCCAAUCCCAGUACGGGGAGGUAGUGACGAAAAAUAACCACGGGGUCAGUAUACACUGAACCCUGAUGGGAAUGAGACAAAGCUAAACCUCUGAACGAGGAUCAAUUGGAGGGCAAGUCUGGUGCCAGCAGCCGCGGUAAUUCCAGCUCCAAUAGCGUAUAUUAAAGUUGUUGCAGUUAAAAAGCUCGUAGUUGGAUCUCAUGUAGUAUGUGAUUUGGUCAACCUCGCGGUUGUACUGAUCACUGCCUACAGAUCGGCAUCGACUAUAGGGCGGCCUUAACCGGCUACUCUAUUCUGUUGAUACCGCUUUACUUUGACAAAAUUAGAGUGCUCAAAGCAAGCGACAAACGCUACGCUUGAAUAAUCUCGCAUAGAAUAACAUAACACGACUCCGGUCUGUUUUGUUGGUUCACAGCCCUUACCGGGGUAAUGAUUAAGAGGAACAGUCGGGAGCAUUCGUAUUGCAAGGAUAGAGGUGAAAUUCUUGGACCCUUGCAAGACGAACAACAGCGAAAGCAUUUGCUAAGAAUGUUUUCAUUAAUCAAGAACGAAAGUCAGGGGAUCGAAGGCGAUCAGAUACCGCCCUAGUCCUGACCAUAAACGAUGUCAGCCAGUCCGGCGUAAGAUCUCAGAUUGGCCCCUCACAGGGUCUUGCAGAGACCUACGCCGAGCUUCGGAAAACCAGAGCAUGACUCCGGGGGAAGUAUGGUUGCAAAGCUGAAACUUAAAGGAAUUGACGGAAGGGCACCACCAGGAGUGGAGCCUGCGGCUUAAUUUGACUCAACACGGGAAAACUCACCCGGCCAGGACACUGCGAGGAUUGACAGGCUGAUAGAUCUUUCUUGAUUCAGUGGGUGGUGGUGCAUGGCCGUUCUUAGUUGGUGGAGUGAUUUGUCUGGUUAAUUCCGAUAACGAGCGAGACUCUCGUCUGUUGUUGGUGUAUCGGGUUGUCUUGAAUCCUUUACCGGAUCCUUGACUCAUACCUGUAUACUCACACUUCAGAGACAAACUGCAAACAAGCAGAACGAGAAAGAGCAAUAACAGGUCUGUGAUGCCCUUAGAUGUCCGGGGCCGCACGCGGACUACACUGGGGGGAUCAGUAUGCACAGGAGUGACGGUUUACGCCUGACCUCUCAUCCUUUCCAGGAAUGGACAGGAAAACAUCCGAAAUCCCCCCGUGAUCGGGACAGGGCAUUGUAAUUAUUGCCCUCGAACGAGGAAUUCCCAGUAAGCGUGAGUCAUCAACUUGCGUUGAUUACGUCCCUGCCCUUUGUACACACCGCCCGUCGCUACUACCGAUUGAAUGAUUUAGUGAGAUGGUUGGAGCGGGUGGUUGUUGGUUUCACGACCGGUGACCGUCUGCGAAGACCCUCAAACUUGAUCAUUUAGAGGAAGUAAAAGUCGUAACAAGGUUUCCGUAGGUGAACCUGCGGAAG
This 1884-nucleotide ribosomal RNA is filed under the name Dryas drummondii. RNAcentral's name for it is "SSU rRNA". It matches the Rfam family "Eukaryotic small subunit ribosomal RNA". The record is from RNAcentral. Lineage: Eukaryota; Viridiplantae; Streptophyta; Magnoliopsida; Rosales; Rosaceae.